GUGUGGUGACAGCGUGGAAGCAGCUGUGGCAUUUGCUCUUCUAGAGGUUUGUGGCGCACAGCGUGCCUCAUUGCUCCUCAUGGCCAAGUGCUUACCUGCUGAUAGACAUCUGGAUUGUUUCUAAAUGAGCAUCAAAGAAAAAUAUGAUUGUUUUAAACUCAAAUUGCUGUCCACAUGUAUGUUUUCAUUUCCCCUGGAUCGAUACUUAGGAGUGCAGUUGCUGGGUUGUAAGUAUGAUUUAUUUUAUGGGACUUAGAUAGAACCUAGGGUCAUGUACAUGCCAGGCAAGUGCUCUACCACUGAGCCACAUCCCCAGUCUAUAUAUAUAGUUGUUGAUAGACCUUUGUUUAUUUAUAUGUAUUUAUAUUUAUAUAUAUUUUUAUUAUUUAUUAAUCGAACCCAGUGCCUCACACAUGCCAGGCAAGUGCGUUACCGUUGAGCCACAGCCACAGCCUGUGACUUUUCUUUUUUAAAAAAUUUCUUUGAGGGGCUGGGGAUGUGGCUCAAGCGGUAGCGCGCUCGCCUGGCAUGCGUGUGGCCCGGGUUCGAUCCUCAGCACCACAUACAAACAAAGAUGUUGUGUCCGCCGAAAACUAAAAUAAAUAAAAAAAAAAAAAAAGUAAAAAAAAAAAAAUUUCUUUGAGCUGGGCGCAGUGGCACAUGCCUAUAAUCCCAGCAGUUUGGGAGGUUGAGACAGGAGGAUCACGAGUUCAAAGCCAGCCUCAGCAACAGUGAAGCACUAAGCAACUUAGUGAGAUCCUGUUCUAAAUAAAAUACAAAAUAGGGCUGGGGAUGUGGCUCAGUGGUUGAGUGCCCCUGAGUUCAACUCCCAGUACCAAAAAAAUAUAAAUAAAAUAAAUUCUUAGAGAUGGGGGUCUUGCUAUUUUAUCUAGGCUGGGCUCAAACUGUCCUCCCUCCUCAGCCUCCCGAGUGCUGGGACUGCAGCUAAGCACUGCCAUGCCCAGCUGCUACAAUUACUGAUAUGGCUGAAUAUGUGGGUGCUUUUUGCUAUUUGUUUUCUAUAGAUCUUCCAUUUGUUCCUUUGUACUGCUCCCUCUCCCCCAGCCACACACUGGGGAUUGAACCAGGGGUGCUUCGCCACUGAGCUACAUCCCAGGGUGUCAGUAGAUUGCUGUGGCUGGCCUGGAAUUUGCCAUCCUCUUGCCCUAGCCUCUUGAGUAGCUGGGAUUAUAGGCGUGUGUCUCCUGAUGCCUGGACUUUUGUUACAUUUUGUGCCUGUGUGUGCUAUUUGAAUCCCAUGGUUGGUAUUUCUUUUUUCCUCUUUUGUUUCCUCUCUUUUCUUUGUGGUUGUGUAGGGAUUGCAGUUUGUAUCUUUCAUUUAUUAUACCAUAUUCCAGUUUAACUGACAAUUCUGGUAAACUGUAACUUUUUACUCCAGUACUGGGGAUUGAACCCAGGGGUGCUAUUACUGAGCUACAUCCCCAGCCCUAUUGGAGACAGGAUUUUGCUAAUUUACACAGACUGGCCUCUAACUUGUGAUCCUCCUGUCUCAGCCUUCCUUGUUGCUGGGAUUAUAAGUGUGGCCAUCAUGCCUAGGCUACUUUUCUUUUGAGCUUGACUUUCAGAGAGCUGCCUGUGUCUCCAUCACUCAGAGCCAUAGAUUUGGGAAGAGGUUAUGCUCAGACCUUGACCACUGUGGUUGGGCUGGGAAGUGCAUUCUCAGCUUCCCUUUCCCUUCCCAUUCUUCAGUCUCCCUGGGCCUUGGAGUCCCACCAGGCACAUGCCAUGUAUAGACAGCUUCCCAGUCAGCCGGGGCUCAUCUAGUCCUUGAAUUCGGCACUCACCUUUCCUGCCUUGCCCUGCUGUUUCUGGCUCCUCUGCUGCUUGCCUUGGAAGCCUCAGGCUAGCAAACUCAGGGCUUUCCCACUCCUUUCUCACCAAGCUUCCCAGUUUAGACUGAUGAAGCCCAGGUCCCUGCCUUCCCAUCUGCCCAAACCUUUCACACACCAACCUUGAGCUAGUGAGACUGUCCCCCUGAGGUGGUGCAGCAAGUGGAGCUGUCCCAGGCAGGAGUCUGCAGCUCUUGCCUGGGGCUCCACCAAGUGUAGUCCACUGCACCCCCACCCCUUGCCUAGCAUCUGCAAGGCCUGGGGUUCAAUGGAUCCCCAGCACAACCAAAAAAAAGAAAAGAAUUUUUUUUUCAAUUUUAUGCUUUUUAAAUUUUCAAUUUUUUGUAGUUCACCCCCCCGCCCCCCGCAUUCCUUUACACUGCCACAGCCAGCACCUCCAUGGCACUGUCCCUCUUUGUCUGUGGCUAAGGCCUUCUGGAGUCCAUAGGCUGUGCCUAAAGGUACAAAGCUCCUGGGAGUAGGUUUGGUGCUGGGUGCCACCACUACUGGCAUUUCUGCCCCCCCAGACCAGGCUUAGCAUCUCACCUCAUGGCAGAGACCAGGAUCAGAAAAGGCAAGGAAAAGCUUCUAGAAGACAAGAAGCUGGAGCUUUAUGGGCUUGUAACAGCCUGCCUGACUGCAGAGACCCUGCUUCUUGCCAGGUAUGGGCAUGUCAAAAUGACCCAUGUGACAAAGAAACAGCUCAAGGAAGUUGACUAUCCCAGCCAGUCAGUGGCAGAACUGAACUUUAACCCAAGUCUUCAGGGACCAAAUCCAGCCCUCUUUCCUAAUAGGGCGAGCAGGACUCAAUUGUGCAUGCUCACGACUGACUUCCAGCAAAACUGGGCAUACCUGUGGACUGACCAUGUUUAGUUGACUCUAAAUGGAAAUCUGGAUUGAGCUCUGAGUGACUAGUUUCUGGAGAACCCACAGUGGCUCCCUCAAGAGGCCCUUGCUGAAGGGCACAGCUUUCAACUGUACUGCAACUACUUCCUCUUUCCUGGGCUCAGUUACAAGGAAAGCUUGCUAUCAGACUUUGCUGAAGAAACAAAUUGAUUGCUCUAGUCUGAGAUUUGGCAAGGCAGGAAUUAUGCUGAGUCAAUGUGACUAAACAUCUGAACUUCCUCAGUCACCUCUGGGUAGGCACCGACUGCUCCAGCAAACAAGUAGAAAUCUAAUCAUAAAGCCAUUAGGGGUUUCUUUCUUUACUGUCACACACUGCGUGGACUUACCAUUUCUAUGUUAAGCAACAGAAAUAAACAAAAAACCAAAACUGCUUUCCCAGAGUAUUGAAAACUAUGGCCAAGUAGCUUAGGAGAGAGGGGCUGGGACCUGAGUGAGUGUCCCUCAGAGACACACAUAAUGCUGGAGCCAGAAUUCACCCUGACCUGCUGUUUUUAGAAAAUCCACAGAUACUCGACAUGUCAUGCUUAAGAAAAUCAACCCAUGUUCACUUAAAAAAUGUUCUGGCUUGCUGACUCCCAGAUCCCAGAUCAAAGCAAGGGCAUGAAUUCUACAAAAACAGCCUUCUAGGCACACCUCCCAGGGAGGAACCCUUUGACUUACAGAAGAGGGUGUGUGAGCACUCGUGGGUUGUCCAGACGUGAAAAUCCCAGCCCUGCUGCAAUUCCUAUUACUGAACUGAAAUGGCUGGAUGCAUGCAAGAAGGCACAAUGCUCAAAAAAUUCCUGAGACACGAAUCCAAAAGCCAGAGGAGCAAGCACGCAAGGUACUCAGAAGAGCUACCCGGCUGUGUAGGGAUGAGGAGGCCUGAAGGGAGACUGGAACCCUCCCCAUGCGAACAAAAGUGGAAUGACAAGAAGUCAGACCAACAAGUAAUGUAGCAACAUGAGCCCUGUUCCACUGACCUCCUGACUCUCGGUGCAGUCAGCUUUGCCAGCGACGUGCUGUCCUGGUUGAGGUCUAUCUGUAAGGUACAAUCAGCUUCCUGAGAACAAAUUCAGGGAUGAUGAUCCAGUUCAAACUGAACGUCCAGCAGGGUUCAAGGGAGACACGGCCCAAUGUACUCUAUUCUCUAGAGCUGACCUAACUUUCAAGACUAUGAAGGCACCCAGUCAAGUGGGUCCCUCCAUCCUGGUCUCCUCCCCAAAGCCAGUUUUCCUUCCCAGUCAUUUCACUACAAUUAGCACACAAACAGGCUGUGGCCCCAUGUCCCCUUCCAGAAGGUUAACCCUUUUCUUCUCCCGUUUUAGUAAGUAUCUCUGAAAGAAUUGCCUGUUCUCCCUUGGAACUUGCAGCUGGAGUUUUUCUCCCAACAAUACUCUGCUCACAGGUGACCUUGCUCUGGCAGAGGCACUUAUUGUCCUCCCCUCACCCCCAGGACUGGGAAACAAAUCCAGGGGCACUUUACCACUGAGCUACACCCACAGCUUUUUUGUUUGUUUGUUUUAUUUUGAAAUAGGAUCUUACCAAGUUGCUGAAGCUGGCCUUAAACUCACAGUGCUCCCUGGCAGAGGCACUCCUGAGGCUCCAUUCUAGACCCUUCUCUAAGUUUGGAAUGAGACCUCAGACCUGGGUGGGCCAGUUGCCUUCUCCUCCUCAGGACCUCUGCUGCCUUCAGGGAUUACACUGGACUGACCUCACCUGGAAGAUCAUGAAACAGGCCGUCCCAGGCCCUACCAAGACCACCUCAAUCGGAAUCUGCAUUUUGGAAUGGUGAUCCCAGGUGAUUCUGGUGCUUACUAAAGUUCCAGAGGUGCUACUCCAAAUCCUUGAAAACUGAGUUUCAGUAUCAGAAAACCCAUUUUCCCUCAGACAUAAGUUGCAUCCUCUAAUAGCAGUUUUAUCACUAAUAAAGGUGAUAUUUUGGUCUCCAAUUGGCCUUAUCUCACUUGGUUCUGAAACUGGGAAAUAGUGAUAUGAUUGGCUCCCCCAAACUUCCUCCACCUUCCUGUUGCUGAAACCUAUGGUUCGCUGCUUCAGUUUAUCGGCUGCACUGGACACAGUGAUGGCAUCCUGCAUCUUCCAACACUUAGUGGCCACCUGUGGGAGACCAACCUUGCACUUGACUGAGUCACAUUCCCCAGCUGGGUGCUGAGGCGCUCAGUCAUAGAAAUGUGGCAGAGCUUUCCCCACCCUUCUUGGGUUCGAGGGUCGGUGUCUUGUGCAUGGGUGUGUCUUGCUACAGCCCCAUGAGUGGAGCUACGCUCACCUGUUCCUUUGUAAUAUAAUCCCUUGCCCUGUUUAGGAUAGAAUCUUCCAUGGAAGUGCCUUGUGUGUGUCCCCUUCUCUUACUGUGUCCUUGGGUGUGGCCUACCCAGGUGUCAGUCAACCUGCUGACAGUGGACAUCAUGAAGAUAGACUCAGCCCCCUGAAACCUGCCCCCUUGCCUCAUUUGAACAGCUUCUCCACAAUAAAAGGGGUCAGCGUGUGCUCUCGUUCUCUCUUCCUAUGGACCUUUAAGGUCAGAGGAGCUGUCACAGCAAAAAAGGUAUUUGUGUCUCUUGUGUGGUUAUUUUGCACAGCCCAAUUAGCCCAGUUCAACUGGAGUGACCCCUGAACCUUUUAGUCGCGAGAACAGAAACCCGGCAGCUACCUGUCACUCUUUAUGGCCACGCCUCUUCCUCUUUGCUGGACCAGUCUUCUCUCCCUGACUUCUACAUGCUGGAGUGCUCUGGACUCUCCCCAUGUUUCCAGCCUCUACCUUCCUUCGUCAAAGACCCUCUUUGAAUACAACCAGUUUACCCAACUGUCCUGCAGAGUACACAUUCAGGUGGAAGUGCUGGCAUCUCAAAACAAACACGACCAACCCGACAGCUGUUCUUCUACCAUUUUCUUCAUCUUGGGAAAUUGCAAUGCUGUUCUUUUUGCCCAGGCACGCAUCUUGUGAACUACUUUCCUCCUUUCUUUCU
This 5722-nucleotide long non-coding RNA is filed under the name Marmota monax (woodchuck). Lineage: Eukaryota; Metazoa; Chordata; Mammalia; Rodentia; Sciuridae. The record is from RNAcentral.